RNAcentral lists this ribosomal RNA (476 nucleotides) under uncultured organism. RNAcentral describes it as "partial 16S ribosomal RNA". It matches the Rfam family "Bacterial small subunit ribosomal RNA", at positions 334 to 801 of the family's 1533-position model. The record is from RNAcentral.
CACUCCUACGGGAGGCAGCAGUGGGGAAUUUUGGACAAUGGGCGAAAGCCUGAUCCAGCAAUGCCGCGUGAGUGAAGAAGGCCUUCGGGUUGUAAAGCUCUUUUGUCAGGGAAGAAACGGUGAGAGCUAAUAUCUCUUGCUAAUGACGGUACCUGAAGAAUAAGCACCGGCUAACUACGUGCCAGCAGCCGCGGUAAUACGUAGGGUGCAAGCGUUAAUCGGAAUUACUGGGCGUAAAGCGUGCGCAGGCGGUUUUGUAAGUCUGAUGUGAAAUCCCCGGGCUCAACCUGGGAAUUGCAUUGGAGACUGCAAGGCUAGAAUCUGGCAGAGGGGGGUAGAAUUCCACGUGUAGCAGUGAAAUGCGUAGAUAUGUGGAGGAACACCGAUGGCGAAGGCAGCCCCCUGGGUCAAGAUUGACGCUCAUGCACGAAAGCGUGGGGAGCAAACAGGAUUAGAAACCCUAGUAGUCCCAUGAU